CGGCCACCGGUGGUAAAUGAGAGGAGGGGAAGCUGCAGUCAUUCGUCUCUAUCCAUUCCCCUCUCCCCCCAUUCUCUCUCUAUCACUUUUUACCUCUGUCAAAAUCUGAAGAUCUCUGCAGCAAACGAAGGGAUUGCUGUGCUGCUCAACGUCCAACGAGAGUAUGGGGGACGCUGCUGAUGUUCAGCACACGAGCACUGACACGGAUGAGAAAGGAAGCGACCCUGAAAAUAAAACAGACAACUGAAAUGCAGAAGGCAAAGAGCAGUGUCUUGGAGAUCCAGCAUUAGAAGAGAAAGGAUAUCAUGAAGAAAUCACUGACACGGAAGCAUGAGAGGGUUCGCUUUUUGAAGAAGUUGCUACAAUGGGAAGUUAACCAGCCGUGUCAACAUGUCUAUGUACUCUUGUUGAAACUAGGAAGAGGAGCAUCUGCAAGCUGCUAGUCAACUUUAGUACUAAAAAACAUCUAUAAGUUGCUCUGAUCAAUUCCAUGAACAAUGGACAUCACGGUUCUGUUUAGCUAGCUCUGAACAGCAACUCCCCUCCUCGUAUGUACAUUCAUAAUUUUUUGUAUCGAUAUUGGUUGGGCCUGGCCUCCAACUUUUUUGUUCAAU
Molecule: long non-coding RNA, 614 nt
Organism: Triticum aestivum (bread wheat)
Lineage: Eukaryota; Viridiplantae; Streptophyta; Magnoliopsida; Poales; Poaceae
Exons: 3
Source: RefSeq, a predicted model, not a curated record